UACGUAGGGUGCGAGCGUUAAUCGGAAUUACUGGGCGUAAAGCGUGCGCAGGCGGUUUGUUAAGUCUGAUGUGAAAGCCCCGGGCUCAACCUGGGAACUGCAUUGGAAACUGGCAAGCUCGAGUAUGGCAGAGGGGGGUGGAAUUCCGCGUGUAGCAGUGAAAUGCGUAGAUAUCCGGAGGAACACCGGUGGCGAAGGCGCUGCUCUGGGCCGGUACUGACGCUGAGGAGCGAAAGCGUGGGUAGCAAACAGG
This 253-nucleotide ribosomal RNA is filed under the name uncultured bacterium. Its description in RNAcentral is "partial 16S ribosomal RNA". It matches the Rfam family "Bacterial small subunit ribosomal RNA", at positions 524 to 776 of the family's 1533-position model. The record is from RNAcentral.